RNAcentral lists this long non-coding RNA (878 nucleotides) under Fukomys damarensis (Damara mole-rat). RNAcentral describes it as "lncRNA (ENSFDAG00000031640.1)". The record is from RNAcentral. Lineage: Eukaryota; Metazoa; Chordata; Mammalia; Rodentia; Bathyergidae.
CUUUUUCAAAUAUGCUGCUUUGGUAUUUGUUGACUUUAAAUACAAAACAGCAAAGCCAGGGGAAGUUUCUAGGCAUUUCCCUUACCUGCCUAAAGAUAAGUCCUCCAAAAAGAACUCAGUUGUCAUUAAUCUUCCCAAACAUCUUCCCUAGCUUUCAACCAGGAGAGUCAAAUCUUAUCACAGAAGAGGAAACUUAAAGUUGACACCACAUCCUGGCACACUGUGUCACAAAUUAUCAAUCCUUCUAACAGCCCAUAUUCUCUUUCCCAAAUUCCUUAUUCUCCUGUAAGUUGCCUACAUCUCUCUUCCCCUUGCCCUAAUGAAGAGGGCACAUAACAUUCUAAAUCUCACUGUUUGGGAGAUACUUUUUCUGCCUAGUGAUAUCCCAAUAUAUGAAAUACACAUGUAUAGCUUUUCUCCUAUUAAUCUGCCUGCUGGUAGUUUAUUUCAUAGACCCGGUUUCUGAACUUCAGAGAGUAGAAGGAAAAUCUCCCUCCCAUUCUGCCGUAAGUACUAAGAAUAAUUCAGUUUUUGCUGAGAAGCCAGUAAGUCCUGGGAAAAGAACGAGUUGUGGCGCUCAGAGGACUCUUGCGCAGGCUGCAGCAAGACACUCACCCGUGCCCCUCCCCACCAGUCCUCAGCCUGCCGCCCCACCCACGAGACAGUGCACAGCACGCCAGGCUUCUGAGCCUCUGGGCCCACCCCGUGCAGUCAAGACGCAGAGAAGAAUCCACGCAGGAGCGCCAAUUCCUCAGUCCGCCAGCUGUACCCCACCCCAUUCUGAGAUGGUAACUAAAUGGGCCACAAGACGGCCGUGUGAUACCCGCCACGCCCGAGGGCCCUCAUCCGCCCGCCCGCCCCCUCGCCCGCCCGCCCGC